This 663-nucleotide ribosomal RNA is filed under the name Micromonospora sp. PC1053. RNAcentral describes it as "bacterial SSU rRNA". It matches the Rfam family "Bacterial small subunit ribosomal RNA", at positions 72 to 752 of the family's 1533-position model. Lineage: Bacteria; Bacillati; Actinomycetota; Actinomycetes; Micromonosporales; Micromonosporaceae. The record is from RNAcentral.
AAGGCCCUUCGGGGUACUCGAGCGGCGAACGGGUGAGUAACACGUGAGCAACCUGCCCCAGGCUUUGGGAUAACCCUCGGAAACGGGGGCUAAUACCGAAUAUUACCUUCUGCCGCAUGGUGGGGGGUGGAAAGUUUUUCGGCUUGGGAUGGGCUCGCGGCCUAUCAGCUUGUUGGUGGGGUAAUGGCCUACCAAGGCGACGACGGGUAGCCGGCCUGAGAGGGCGACCGGCCACACUGGGACUGAGACACGGCCCAGACUCCUACGGGAGGCAGCAGUGGGGAAUAUUGCACAAUGGGCGGAAGCCUGAUGCAGCGACGCCGCGUGAGGGAUGACGGCCUUCGGGUUGUAAACCUCUUUCAGCAGGGACGAAGCGUAAGUGACGGUACCUGCAGAAGAAGCGCCGGCCAACUACGUGCCAGCAGCCGCGGUAAGACGUAGGGCGCGAGCGUUGUCCGGAUUUAUUGGGCGUAAAGAGCUCGUAGGCGGCUUGUCGCGUCGACUGUGAAAACCCACAGCUCAACUGUGGGCUUGCAGUCGAUACGGGCAGGCUAGAGUUCGGUAGGGGAGACUGGAAUUCCUGGUGUAGCGGUGAAAUGCGCAGAUAUCAGGAGGAACACCGGUGGCGAAGGCGGGUCUCUGGGCCGAUACUGACGCUGAGGA